Molecule: ribosomal RNA, 388 nt
Filed under: uncultured soil bacterium
Lineage: Bacteria
Description: bacterial SSU rRNA
Rfam family: Bacterial small subunit ribosomal RNA
Source: RNAcentral
AGAUUGAACGCUGGCGGCAUGCCUUACACAUGCAAGUCGAACGGCAGCACGGGAGCAAUCCUGGUGGCGAGUGGCGAACGGGUGAGUAAUACAUCGGAACGUGCCCAAUCGUGGGGGAUAACGCAGCGAAAGCUGUGCUAAUACCGCAUAAGAUCUACGGAUGAAAGCAGGGGAUCGCAAGACCUUGCGCGAAUGGAGCGGCCGAUGGCAGAUUAGGUAGUUGGUGAGGUAAAGGCUCACCAAGCCUUCGAUCUGUAGCUGGUCUGAGAGGACGACCAGCCACACUGGGACUGAGACACGGCCCAGACUCCUACGGGAGGCAGCAGUGGGGAAUUUUGGACAAUGGGCGAAAGCCUGAUCCGAGCCAUGCCGCGUGCAGGAUGAAGGU